GCCUGCAUAGCUCAGCUGGAUAGAGUCCAUUCCUUCUAAGAAUGUUGUCGCAGGUUCGAGCCCUGCUGCGGGCUCCA
RNAcentral lists this transfer RNA (77 nucleotides) under Fluviirhizobium alvei. Its description in RNAcentral is "tRNA-Arg". It matches the Rfam family "tRNA". Rfam says of the family: Transfer RNA (tRNA) molecules are approximately 80 nucleotides in length. Lineage: Bacteria; Pseudomonadati; Pseudomonadota; Alphaproteobacteria; Hyphomicrobiales; Rhizobiaceae. The record is from RNAcentral.